This 1026-nucleotide long non-coding RNA is filed under the name Homo sapiens (human). RNAcentral describes it as "HSALNT0327804". Lineage: Eukaryota; Metazoa; Chordata; Mammalia; Primates; Hominidae. The record is from RNAcentral.
CGCUUACAGAGAAGGGAAAAGGUGAAGCUUGGUUCAUAGACGGAUUUACUCUUUAUGCGGUGCAAGCUAGAAAUGUAUUACUAUUGCAUUACAAACAUAUCUGGGAGUGGCCCUGAAAUACAGUAGGGGCAUGGGAAAUUCUCCCAGUGGACAAAGCUGUAGGAUUGAGUAAAAUAUACAUAUGAACUCAUAGACAGUGGUGAAUAUUUUGGCUGUCUGUUCAGGGGCAUAGAAAAUGAAAUAUUGGGCUGGACGCAUGUGGCUAGACCUAAGAAGCCUUAGAGAGCUUGAGUGUAAAUUGUGAAGAUCUUUGUAUCAAAUGGUUGUAAUAAUCCAUCAUGGAAUAAGCACUAAACAAUCAAGGAGAAGAACCAGCCAUCUUCUUCAUCCACCAACCACGUGCUGGCACAAUGAACAGCAUGAACAAUGAACAGCAUGACCAUGGCAGCAGGGAUGAAAGCUAUGCAUGGGCUCAACAAUGUGGCCUCCCUCUUACGAAGACUGAUCUAGCUCCUGCUAUUGCUGAAGAUUCAACCUGCUGGCAACAGAGACCAAAGGAAAUAGGACCAAUCAGAAUCCCAGAAAACCUGUCUGGAGUAAACUUAUAUGAAGCAAGUGAAUCCAAAAGGGACAAUGGUGAACUGCAGUGGAUGCCGUAGCUCAUUACCCAGAGUCCACCUUCUGGGACAGCAGUACCUAGCUGCUGGGAUUGUUGCCUGCUGAUGGCUCGCAGUUGAAUCACUCCCCUGCAAUUGCCUUCAAAAGGGAACUGCCGUGACCAUGGUUAUGCUCCGUUUCUAGUGGGGAAUUUCAUAUCCAAUUAGUGGUCUAUGUGUAGGCGCAAAGGUCCAGUCACCUCUACUAAUUCAGGAUAUCUCUGAAGCACUAUCUCAGCUUCAGAGCUCUCCAUGGGAGUGACUGAGACCUCAUAACACAGGAUAAGUGCUCCCUUUGCCUAAUCUUGCUUCCCUUACUUCAUUGGAGGUGUUGUUCCCAAGAUCAUUUCCAUAAAACAUUUGCACUCAG